RNAcentral lists this ribosomal RNA (253 nucleotides) under uncultured bacterium. RNAcentral's name for it is "partial 16S ribosomal RNA". It matches the Rfam family "Bacterial small subunit ribosomal RNA", at positions 524 to 776 of the family's 1533-position model. The record is from RNAcentral.
UACGUAGGGUGCGAGCGUUGUCCGGAAUUAUUGGGCGUAAAGAGCUUGUAGGCGGUCUGUCGCGUCUGCUGUGAAAAUCCGGGGCUCAACCCCGGACUUGCAGUGGGUACGGGCAGACUAGAGUGUGAUAGGGGAGACUGGAAUUCCUGGUGUAGCGGUGAAAUGCGCAGAUAUCAGGAGGAACACCGAUGGCGAAGGCAGGUCUCUGGGCCACUACUGACGCUGAGAAGCGAAAGCAUGGGGAGCGAACAGG